This 215-nucleotide long non-coding RNA is filed under the name Sorghum bicolor (sorghum). RNAcentral describes it as "long non-coding RNA (SBIC_LNC010442)". Lineage: Eukaryota; Viridiplantae; Streptophyta; Magnoliopsida; Poales; Poaceae. The record is from RNAcentral.
CUUGUCUUCGGAAACCCAUUGUUGAUUCAGAUUCAGUUUGAAACCUUUAAUUCAUCUUGCAAAUUCAGUGCUUGUUUCCUCGUUCUUGCUAGUUCUUCGAUUGCUUGCAGGACGGGAGCCCUAGGGGCUGGUUGUCGCGCUCCACAAGAUCGUGACGGCUGUUGGACGUGGUGUAUCGGUUGCUAAGGCGCGGUCUUGAGGGCUGUAGUCGGGCC